This 1372-nucleotide ribosomal RNA is filed under the name uncultured bacterium. RNAcentral's name for it is "bacterial SSU rRNA". It matches the Rfam family "Bacterial small subunit ribosomal RNA", at positions 28 to 1381 of the family's 1533-position model. The record is from RNAcentral.
GAUGAACGCUGGCGGCGUGCCUAAUACAUGCAAGUCGAGCGAACGGACGAGAAGCUUGCUUCUCUGAUGUUAGCGGCGGACGGGUGAGUAACACGUGGAUAACCUACCUAUAAGACUGGGAUAACUUCGGGAAACCGGAGCUAAUACCGGAUAAUAUUUUGAACCGCAUGGUUCAAAAGUGAAAGACGGUCUUGCAGUCACCUAUAGAUGGAUCCGCGCUACAUUAGCUAGUUGGUAAGGUAACGGCUUACCAAGGCAACGAUGCAUAGCCGACCUGAGAGGGUGAUCGGCCACACUGGAACUGAGACACGGUCCAGACUCCUACGGGAGGCAGCAGUAGGGAAUCUUCCGCAAUGGGCGAAAGCCUGACGGAGCAACGCCGCGUGAGUGAUGAAGGUCUUCGGAUCGUAAAACUCUGUUAUUAGGGAAGAACAUAUGUGUAAGUAACUGUGCACAUCUUGACGGUACCUAAUCAGAAAGCCACGGCUAACUACGUGCCAGCAGCCGCGGUAAUACGUAGGUGGCAAGCGUUAUCCGGAAUUAUUGGGCGUAAAGCGCGCGUAGGCGGUUUUUUAAGUCUGAUGUGAAAGCCCACGGCUCAACCGUGGAGGGUCAUUGGAAACUGGAAAACUUGAGUGCAGAAGAGGAAAGUGGAAUUCCAUGUGUAGCGGUGAAAUGCGCAGAGAUAUGGAGGAACACCAGUGGCGAAGGCGACUUUCUGGUCUGUAACUGACGCUGAUGUGCGAAAGCGUGGGGAUCAAACAGGAUUAGAUACCCUGGUAGUCCACGCCGUAAACGAUGAGUGCUAAGUGUUAGGGGGUUUCCGCCCCUUAGUGCUGCAGCUAACGCAUUAAGCACUCCGCCUGGGGAGUACGACCGCAAGGUUGAAACUCAAAGGAAUUGGCGGGGACCCGCACAAGCGGUGGAGCAUGUGGUUUAAUUCGAAGCAACGCGAAGAACCUUACCAAAUCUUGACAUCCUUUGACAACUCUAGAGAUAGAGCCUUCCCCUUCGGGGGACAAAGUGACAGGUGGUGCAUGGUUGUCGUCAGCUCGUGUCGUGAGAUGUUGGGUUAAGUCCCGCAACGAGCGCAACCCUUAAGCUUAGUUGCCAUCAUUAAGUUGGGCACUCUAAGUUGACUGCCGGUGACAAACCGGAGGAAGGUGGGGAUGACGUCAAAUCAUCAUGCCCCUUAUGAUUUGGGCUACACACGUGCUACAAUGGACAAUACAAAGGGCAGCGAAACCGCGAGGUCAAGCAAAUCCCAUAAAGUUGUUCUCAGUUCGGAUUGUAGUCUGCAACUCGACUACAUGAAGCUGGAAUCGCUAGUAAUCGUAGAUCAGCAUGCUACGGUGAAUACGUUCCCGGGUCU